UACGUAGGGUGCAAGCGUUAAUCGGAAUUACUGGGCGUAAAGCGUGCGCAGGCGGCUUUGCAAGACAGAUGUGAAAUCCCCGGGCUCAACCUGGGAACUGCAUUUGUGACUGCAUGGCUAGAGUACGGUAGAGGGGGAUGGAAUUCCGCGUGUAGCAGUGAAAUGCGUAGAUAUGCGGAGGAACACCGAUGGCGAAGGCGACUCACUGGACAUGUAUUGACGCUGAGGUGCGAAAGCGUGGGGAGCAAACAGG
Molecule: ribosomal RNA, 253 nt
Filed under: uncultured bacterium
Lineage: Bacteria
Description: partial 16S ribosomal RNA
Rfam family: Bacterial small subunit ribosomal RNA
Source: RNAcentral